This is a long non-coding RNA of Bombus huntii, 834 nucleotides long. RefSeq lists it as uncharacterized. The record is from RefSeq and is a predicted model, not a curated record. NCBI's taxonomy places the organism in Eukaryota, Metazoa, Arthropoda, Insecta, Hymenoptera, Apidae. The transcript is spliced from 2 exons.
GCAAGUUUCGUAGCUAAAAAAGCUACGGUUUUGAGAUACGGAUUCUUAAUGCUGUAGUCCUGUCGAAAAUUCUUCAGUCUGUGGGCAUGUUAGGCCAGGUACACGGGAACUCUCUGGAGAGAUGCGGCCGGACGUACCUACAUGAUCCUACACUUUGUGCGACCUCUUGUCACGUCCCUAAGGAUUCGUAUUCCUAGUCACGCGUUUAAUCUCUCGAAACAUGCAACCGUCUUGCAGUGGUUUGAUGCUUUGGGACCAAAGUUUGCUAGGAAUAUUUGUACGUGUUGUGAGAGUAAAAAUGGGCAAAGGAAAAAAAAUUCACGGUAUAGAUGUUGGUCAUGGUAAAUUCAAGUUAUGUAGUUUUCGUAUGAACUCCAUGAGGAUGCAUGAUUGUACGAGGAUGUUGGAAAAAUGUAAACAAUAACUAAUAAUAACAACAAGGAAAAAGAAAACGCGUUGCUAAAGUGAAAAAGGGAGAUCUCGUUCGGUCAGGAUGUUCUUCACAGAGUGGAGGUUUCCCUGCUCGGUUGGCUAAGUAUUAAAAGUACGAUACGAAAGAAGAAUAAGCGAAGAACACGGUGCUGAUAGUAUUACAAUGUUUGAAAAUUAAUUUUAGUCCUUAAAUUGUAAAUAUCGACAAAUUGAUAUGUAUGAGACUUACUAAACACCUAAUUUAAUGGGACGAGUAACGUAAAAGAGGAAUAUUUUACUAAAAUCGUAUACCAGGAGCCUGGAUUUCGUGUUUUAAAUUUAUACACAAAAGUUUAUAUAUCAAUUUGAUAAUACUUUGUAACCCACUCUGUAUAUCAGCAAAAAAUAAAAAAAAAGAAAAAU